This 64-nucleotide transfer RNA is filed under the name Pseudorhabdosynochus yangjiangensis. RNAcentral's name for it is "tRNA-Val". It matches the Rfam family "tRNA". Rfam says of the family: Transfer RNA (tRNA) molecules are approximately 80 nucleotides in length. Lineage: Eukaryota; Metazoa; Platyhelminthes; Monogenea; Dactylogyridea; Diplectanidae. The record is from RNAcentral.
AAUAAGGUAGCUUAAUUAAAAGUAUUUAAUUUACAAUUAAAAGAUAAAAUAGUUUUCUUUAUUA